Molecule: ribosomal RNA, 478 nt
Filed under: uncultured bacterium
Lineage: Bacteria
Description: partial 16S ribosomal RNA
Rfam family: Bacterial small subunit ribosomal RNA
Source: RNAcentral
GACGAACGCUGGCGGCGUGCUUAACACAUGCAAGUCGAACGGGAUUUCUGUGGAAAUUCUCUCGGGCAUGGAGAUGAAAUGAAAGUGGCGAACGGGAGAGUAACACGUGAGCAAUCUACCUUACACAGGGGGAUAGCCGUAGGAAACUACGACUAAUACCGCAUGAGACAACAGAAUCGCAUGAUAUAGGGGUCAAAGAUUUAUGGGUGUAAGAGGGGCUCGCGACUGGUUAGCUAGAUGGCAGGGUAAGGGCCUAUCAAGGCGAGGUUCAGUAGCCGGGAUGAGAGAAUGAGCGCCCACUUUUGAACUGAGACACGGUCCGGACUCCUGCGGGAGGCAGCAGUGGGUAAUAUUGCAAUACGGGGGGAACCCAGAUGCAGCGACGCUGCGUGAGCCAAGAUGGUUUUCGAAUAGUAAAGCUCGGUCCUAUGAGAAGAUAAUGACGGUAUCAAAAGAGGAAGCCCCGGCUAACUUCGUG